This 845-nucleotide ribosomal RNA is filed under the name uncultured marine microorganism. Its description in RNAcentral is "bacterial SSU rRNA". It matches the Rfam family "Bacterial small subunit ribosomal RNA", at positions 659 to 1501 of the family's 1533-position model. The record is from RNAcentral.
AGCAGGAAUUCCCAGUGUAGCGGUGAAAUGCGUAGAUAUUGGGAAGAACAUCGGUGGCGAAGGCGUGCUACUGGACCGUAACUGACACUCAGGGACGAAAGCUAGGGGAGCGAAAGGGAUUAGAUACCCCUGUAGUCCUAGCUGUAAACGAUGGAAACUAGGCGUGGCUUGUAUCGACCCGAGCCGUGCCGUAGCUAACGCGUUAAGUUUCCCGCCUGGGGAGUACGCACGCAAGUGUGAAACUCAAAGGAAUUGACGGGGGCCCGCACAAGCGGUGGAGUAUGUGGUUUAAUUCGAUGCAACGCGAAGAACCUUACCAGGGCUUGACAUGUCGCGAAUCUCGGUGAAAGCUGAGAGUGCCUUCGGGAGCGCGAACACAGGUGGUGCAUGGCUGUCGUCAGCUCGUGUCGUGAGAUGUUGGGUUAAGUCCCGCAACGAGCGCAACCCUUAUUUUUAGUUGCCAGCAUUAAGAUGGGCACUCUAGAAAGACUGCCGGUGACAAACCGGAGGAAGGUGAGGACGACGUCAAGUCAGCAUGCCCCUUACGCCCUGGGCUACACACGUACUACAAUGGUUGGGACAAAGGGCAGCGACUCCGCAAGGAAUAGCGAAUCUCAUCAAACCCAGCCUCAGUUCAGAUUGCAGGCUGCAACUCGCCUGCAUGAAGGAGGAAUCGCUAGUAAUCGCAGGUCAGCAUACUGCGGUGAAUUCGUUCCCGGGCCUUGUACACACCGCCCGUCACACCAUGGAAGCUGGUCACGCCCGAAGUAGUUACCCUAACCUUUCGAGGAGGGGGAUUCCUAAGGCAGGGCUAGUGACUGGGGUGAAGUCGUAACAAGGUAACC